RNAcentral lists this unclassified non-coding RNA (322 nucleotides) under Hevea brasiliensis (rubber tree). Lineage: Eukaryota; Viridiplantae; Streptophyta; Magnoliopsida; Malpighiales; Euphorbiaceae. The record is from RNAcentral.
CACGAACUCGCCGGAAUCAUGCCGAAGCAGAUCCGUGAGAUCAAGGAUUUCCUUCUCACAGCUCGGAGGAAAGACGCCCGCUCUAUAAAGAUCAAGAGGAGCAAGGAUGUCGUCAAGUUCAAGGUCCGGUGCUCCAGGUACCUCUACACGCUCUGCGUGAAUGAUCCGGAGAAGGCGGACAAGUUGAAGCAGUCACUUCCGCCAGGUUUAAGUGUUCAGGAGGUUUAAGGUAUCACUCUCAGUCUGCAGUUUGGGGGAAGCUGGCCCUCAUCUCAACCUAAUCUUAGUAGUUCUUAGCACUAUGGGAACCUUUUCUUUUCAG